AAGCCGUGGUGUGGGCAUUGGUUAGUGUAGCUUCUAAACCGUUCCCAAGCUUCACUGAAGCUCUCGUUAUUGUGCUGCGUGAAACUUGAGAUCUGAUUCCCGAGCUU
Molecule: small nucleolar RNA, 107 nt
Organism: Eutrema salsugineum
Lineage: Eukaryota; Viridiplantae; Streptophyta; Magnoliopsida; Brassicales; Brassicaceae
Rfam family: Plant small nucleolar RNA R71
About the family: R71 is a member of the C/D box family of snoRNAs containing the C (UGAUGA) and D (CUGA) box motifs. Multiple nearly identical copies of this snoRNA have been identified in Arabidopsis, and it is thought to function as a 2'-O-ribose methylation guide for 18S ribosomal RNA.
Source: Rfam